This 497-nucleotide ribosomal RNA is filed under the name uncultured bacterium. RNAcentral describes it as "partial 16S ribosomal RNA". It matches the Rfam family "Bacterial small subunit ribosomal RNA", at positions 28 to 507 of the family's 1533-position model. The record is from RNAcentral.
GACGAACGCUGGCGGCGUGCCUAAUACAUGCAAGUUGAGCGCUGAAGGUUGGUACUUGUACCAACUGGAUGAGCAGCGAACGGGUGAGUAACGCGUGGGGAAUCUGCCUUUGAGCGGGGGACAACAUUUGGAAACGAAUGCUAAUACCGCAUAAAAACUUUAAACACAAGUUUUAAGUUUGAAAGAUGCAAUUGCAUCACUCAAAGAUGAUCCCGCGUUGUAUUAGCUAGUUGGUGAGGUAAAGGCUCACCAAGGCGAUGAUACAUAGCCGACCUGAGAGGGUGAUCGGCCACAUUGGGACUGAGACACGGCCCAAACUCCUACGGGAGGCAGCAGUAGGGAAUCUUCGGCAAUGGACGAAAGUCUGACCGAGCAACGCCGCGUGAGUGAAGAAGGUUGUCGGAUCGUAAAACUCUGUUGGUAGAGAAGAACGUUGGUGAGAGUGGAAAGCUCAUAAAGUGACGGUAACUACCCAGAAAGGGACGGCUAACUACGUG